Molecule: ribosomal RNA, 509 nt
Filed under: uncultured Oscillospiraceae bacterium
Lineage: Bacteria; Bacillati; Bacillota; Clostridia; Eubacteriales; Oscillospiraceae
Description: bacterial SSU rRNA
Rfam family: Bacterial small subunit ribosomal RNA
Source: RNAcentral
GGGAAAGUUGAGACAGGUGGUGCAGUGGUUGUCGUCAGCUCGUGUCGUGAGAUUGUUGGGUUAAGUCCCGCAACGAGCGCAACCCUUGUGAUUAGUUGCUACGCAAGAGCACUCUAAUCAGACUGCCGUUGACAAAAACGGAGAAGGUGGGGACGACGUCAAAUCAUCAUGCCCUUUAUGACCUGGGCUACACACGUACUACAAUGAUCGUUAACAGAGGGACGCAAGACCGCGAGGUGGAGCAAACCCUAAAAACGGUCUCAGUUCGGAUCGCAGGCUGCAACCCGCCUGCGUGAAGUUGGAAUUGCUAGUAAUCGCGGAUCAGAAUGCCGCGGUGAAUACGUUCCCGGGCCUUGUACACACCGCCCGUCACACCAUGGGAGCCGGUAAUACCCGAAGUCAGUAGUCUAACCGCAAGGAGGACGCUGCCGAAGGUAGGAUUGGCGACUGGGGUGAAGUCGUAACAAGGUAGCCGUAUCGGAAGGUGCGGCUGGAUCACCUCCUUUCUG